AAAUCCCCGGGCUUAACCUGGGAACUGCAUUUGAAACUGUAUAACUAGAGUAGGGUAGAGGAGAGGGGAAUUUCCGGUGUAGCGGUGAAAUGCGUAGAUAUCGGAAGGAACACCAGUGGCGAAGGCGCCUCUCUGGAUUCAUACUGACACUGAGGUGCGAAACGUGGGGAGCAAACAGGAUUAGAUACCCUGGUAGUCCACGCCGUAAACGAUGAGAACUAGCCGUUGGGGGGCAUGUCCUUAGUGGCNAACGUAACGCGAUAAGUUCUCCGCCUGGGGAGUACGGCCGCAAGUUAAAACUCAAAGGAAUUGACGGGGGCCCNCACAAGCUGGAACAUGUGGUUUAAUUCGAUGCAACGCGAA
This 363-nucleotide ribosomal RNA is filed under the name uncultured Gammaproteobacteria bacterium. Its description in RNAcentral is "bacterial SSU rRNA". It matches the Rfam family "Bacterial small subunit ribosomal RNA", at positions 597 to 965 of the family's 1533-position model. Lineage: Bacteria; Pseudomonadati; Pseudomonadota; Gammaproteobacteria. The record is from RNAcentral.